UACGGAGGGUGCAAGCGUUAAUCGGAAUCACUGGGCGUAAAGCGCGCGUAGGUGGUUGGGUAAGUAGGCUGUGAAAGCCCUGGGCUUAACCUGGGAACUGCAGUCUAGACUGUCUGACUCGAGAUCAGUAGAGGGAGGUGGAAUUCCUGGUGUAGCGGUGAAAUGCGUAGAUAUCAGGAAGAACACCAGUGGCGAAGGCGACCUCCUGGACUGCAUCUGACACUGAGGUGCGAAAGCGUGGGGAGCGAACAGG
This 253-nucleotide ribosomal RNA is filed under the name uncultured bacterium. Its description in RNAcentral is "partial 16S ribosomal RNA". It matches the Rfam family "Bacterial small subunit ribosomal RNA", at positions 524 to 776 of the family's 1533-position model. The record is from RNAcentral.